Molecule: ribosomal RNA, 460 nt
Filed under: uncultured bacterium
Lineage: Bacteria
Description: partial 16S ribosomal RNA
Rfam family: Bacterial small subunit ribosomal RNA
Source: RNAcentral
CCUACGGGGGGCUGUAGUGAGGAAUAUUGGUCAAUGGACGCAAGUCUGAACCAGCCAUGCCGCGUGCAGGAAGACGGCUCUAUGAGUUGUAAACUGCUUUUGUACGAGGGUAAACGCAGAUACGCGUAUCUGUCUGAAAGUAUCGUACGAAUAAGGAUCGGCUAAAUCCGUGCCAGCAGCCGCGGUAAUACGGAGGAUUCAAGCGUUAUCCGGAUUUAGUGGGUUUAAAGGGUGCGUAGGCGGUCGGAUAAGUUAGAGGUGAAAUCCCGAGGCUCAACUUCGGAAUUGCCUCUGAUACUGUUCGGCUAGAGAGUAGUAGCGGUAGGCGGAAUGUAUGGUGUAGCGGUGAAAUGCUUAGAGAUCAUACAGAACACCGAUUGCGAAGGCAGCUUACCAAGCUACUUCUGACGUUGAGGCACGAAAGCGUGGGGAGCAAACAGGAUUAGAUACCCGAGUAGUC